Molecule: ribosomal RNA, 407 nt
Filed under: uncultured bacterium
Lineage: Bacteria
Description: partial 16S ribosomal RNA
Rfam family: Bacterial small subunit ribosomal RNA
Source: RNAcentral
AUUGAACGCUGGCGGCAGGCCUAACACAUGCAAGUCGAGCGGAGCGGCGGACGGGUGCGUGAUGGCUAGGUAUCUGACUGUUCGCGGUGGAUGGCGUUCAGUACUGGGCGCUAAUACCGCUUCCUAUCAGAAUAGGCUAGGUCGGAUUAGCUAGUUGGUGGGGUAAAGGCCUACCAAGGCAACGAUCCGUAGCUGGUCUGAGUGGAUGAUCAGUCACACUGGAACUGAGACACGGUCCAGACUCCUACGGGAGGCAGCAGUGGGGAAUUUUGGACAAUGGGCGAAAGCCUGAUCCAGCCAUGCCGCGUGUGUGAAGAAGGCCUUCGGAUUGUAAAGCACUUUAAGUUGGGAGGCGUUACCAACAGAAUAAGCACCGGCUAACUACGUGCCAGCCGCCGCGGUAAUAC